Molecule: ribosomal RNA, 494 nt
Filed under: uncultured bacterium
Lineage: Bacteria
Description: partial 16S ribosomal RNA
Rfam family: Bacterial small subunit ribosomal RNA
Source: RNAcentral
GACGAACGCUGGCGGCGCGCUUAACACAUGCAAGUCGAACGGAAAGGCCUGCUUUCCCUUGUGGAUUGCGGGUACUCGAGUGGCGAACGGGUGAGUAACACGUGAGUGAUCUGCCCCCAACUUGGGUAUAAGCCUGGGAAACUGGGUCUAAUUCCCGAUAGGACUGCAGGGUGGUUCCUGUGGUGGAAAACGAUUUUCUAGUGGUUGGGGAUGAGCUCGCGGCCUAUCAGCUUGUUGGUGGGGUAAUGGCCUACCAAGGCGGCGACGGGUAGCCGGCCUGGGAGGGUGGACGGCCACAUUGGGACUGGGAUACGGCCCAGACUCCUACGGGAGGCAGCAGUGGGGAAUAUUGCACAAUGGGCGGGAGCCUGAUGCAGCGACGCCGCGUGGGGGGUGACGGCCUUCGGGUUGUAAACUCCUUGCGACCGCGAGGAAGCCACCUGGUUGGAAGGGUGGUGACGGUAGUGGUAGAAGAAGCACCGGCUAACUACGUG